Molecule: ribosomal RNA, 271 nt
Filed under: uncultured bacterium
Lineage: Bacteria
Description: partial 16S ribosomal RNA
Rfam family: Bacterial small subunit ribosomal RNA
Source: RNAcentral
GUUAUCCUACGGGAGGCAGCAGUAGGGAAUCUUCCACAAUGGGCGAAAGCCUGAUGGAGCAACGCCGCGUGGGUGAAGAAGGUCUUCGGAUCGUAAAACCCUGUUGUUAGAGAAGAAAGUGCGUGAGAGUAACUGUUCACGUUUCGACGGUAUCUAACCAGAAAGCCACGACUGACUACGUGCCAGCAGCCGCGGUAAUACGUAGGUGGCAAGCGUUAUCCGGAUUUAUUGUGCGUAAAGGGAACGCAUGCGGGCUUUUAAGUCUGAUGUG